UACGUAGGGUGCAAGCGUUGUCCGGAAUUAUUGGGCGUAAAGAGCUCGUAGGUGGUUUGUCGCGUUGUCCGUGAAAUUCCCUGGCUUAACUGGGGGCGUGCGGGCGAUACGGGCAGACUGGAGUACUGCAGGGGAGACUGGAAUUCCUGGUGUAGCGGUGGAAUGCGUAGAGAUCCGGAAGAACACCGGUGGCGAAGGCGGUCUGCUGGGCCAAGACUGACGCUGAGGCGCGACAGCGUGGGGAGCAAACAGG
This 253-nucleotide ribosomal RNA is filed under the name uncultured bacterium. RNAcentral describes it as "partial 16S ribosomal RNA". It matches the Rfam family "Bacterial small subunit ribosomal RNA", at positions 524 to 776 of the family's 1533-position model. The record is from RNAcentral.